This 496-nucleotide ribosomal RNA is filed under the name uncultured bacterium. RNAcentral describes it as "partial 16S ribosomal RNA". It matches the Rfam family "Bacterial small subunit ribosomal RNA", at positions 29 to 507 of the family's 1533-position model. The record is from RNAcentral.
AUGAACGCUGGCGGCGUGCCUCAUCCCUGCAAGUCGCGCGAACAGACGAGGAGCUUGCUCCUUCGACGUUAGCGGCGGACGGGUGAGUAACACGUAGGUAACCUACCUAUAAGACUGGGAUAACUUCGGGAAACCGGAGCUAAUACCGGAUAAUAUUUCGAACCGCAUGGUUCGAUAGUGAAAGAUGGCUUUGCUAUCACUUAUAGAUGGACCUGCGCCGUAUUAGCUAGUUGGUAAGGUAACGGCUUACCAAGGCAACGAUACGUAGCCGACCUGAGAGGGUGAUCGGCCACACUGGAACUGAGACACGGUCCAGACUCCUACGGGAGGCAGCAGUAGGGAAUCUUCCGCAAUGGGCGAAAGCCUGACGGAGCAACGCCGCGUGAGUGAUGAAGGUCUUCGGAUCGUAAAACUCUGUUAUUAGGGAAGAACAAACGUGUAAGUAACUGUGCACGUCUUGACGGUACCUAAUCAGAAAGCCACGGCUAACUACGUG